Molecule: long non-coding RNA, 3006 nt
Organism: Myxocyprinus asiaticus (Chinese sucker)
Lineage: Eukaryota; Metazoa; Chordata; Actinopteri; Cypriniformes; Catostomidae
Exons: 9
Source: RefSeq, a predicted model, not a curated record
GGUUUGGCAGGUGUAUCGGAAGUCUACACUUUUAACGUAGGCUACACAGUCUUACCUGCACCAGGUGAGAGUGCUUUAAACUCAGCUUGAAACUUCGAGAAGUCUUCGAACCUGGUGAAAACAGUCCGUUUUUUGAUAAAUGAAAAAUCAGAUUCCUGCUAACCUAAAUUCUAAGGUCAAGAAGGAUGCUAAAAUCCUCAGAGUUCACUGAAAUAUCCAACAGAAUGGGGCCUGACAAACUUAUUCCAGAAAGAAGAAAGCCAUACAAGUUUGGAACAACAUUAGGCUCAUGUGAUUGCCAAGGCUGAGGGACUGGCUAUCCUGUCAGUCUUUAAAGCGGGCUUCAUGAUUACUGCAAGGGGUGGCAGUGGAAUAGUGAUUUAAAGGCUCGCUGAUGGAAGGUGGUCUGCUCCUUUAGCCAUUGGCAUUGCUGGUCUUAGUGGAGGAUUUGAAAUCGGUAUUGAGGCAUAAGAUUUUGUCAUCAUCUUGAAUCAGAGAAGAGCUGUGGAUGCUUUUAGUAAAGGGGGCAAUCUCACACUUGGAGGAAAUUUCACUGUGGCUGUUGGCCUUCUUGGCAGAUGAGUUCAGCACCAGUUAGACCAAGUCCUCCCACACAGAGUGCUGCCUCUUACACACCCAGGACAGAGGCUUCUGCAGCUGUGAAGCCAGCUGUCUAUCAGAACUUUGUCUUAAACUGGGAUUCUGCAAGCUCAGAAGUCAGAUGGGUUUGAAACAACAUGAGGAUAAGAAAAUAAUCACAGAGACGGAGCAACAACACCCGGACUCAGUUAUUAUUCUGGGAGAUUUUAAUAAAUCUAACCUCACCCGUGAACUGCCAAAAUACAAUCAACACAUCACAUGCUCCACCCAGAGACAGAAAUAUACUGGACCACCGCUACACCACUGUAAAGGAUGCAUAUCUGUCCCACGUGCAGCUUUAGGACUCUCUGAUCACUGUCUGGUUCAUCUUCUCCCGACCUACAAGCAGAAACUAAAAUCAGCUAAGCCUGUAGUAAGGAGUGUAAAGAGAUGGACUAAUGAAGCAGAGCUGGAACUACAAGACUGUUUUGACUGCACUGAUUGGAGUGUUUUUGGAGCUGCAGCCACUGACCUGAACGAGCUCAAAGAUACUGUGACAUCAUAUAUCAGUUUCUGUGAGGAUAUGUGCAUCCCUACUAGGACAUUUUUAUCAUUCAAUAACGAUAAACCAUGGUUUACAGGAAAAGUCAGCUUCGUCAUGCCAAAGAGGAUGCUUACAGAAGUGGGGAUAAAAUAUUGUACAACCAGUCCAGGAACACACUUACUAAGGCGAUCAAAGUGGCUAAAAGAAGCUACUCUGAAAAGCUGAAAACCCAGUUUUCAGCCAACGAUCCUGCAUCUGUGUGGAAAGACCUGAAAAGCAUCACCAAGUACAAGACAGCUCCCCCUCGCUCUGUAGAGAAUCAACUAAUGGCUGCUGAACUGAAUGUGUUUUACUGCAGGUUUGAAAAGCCCAGUCUCACACCCCUCCCCCGCUCUGAUCUUCACUUCACACACACCAACACCUCCUGGAACCCCCAACCUGCUUCUCAAUCUGCACUUAUGAUCUGUGAGGAGGAUGUGUGCUAGGUCUUUUGGUUACAAAUGACUAGGAAAGCUUCAGGCCCAGACGGUGUUUUUCACCUGCCUGUCUGAAAGUCUGCGCUGACCAACUGGCCCCCAUCACAGAUCUUCAAUAGAUCACUGGAGCAGUGUAAAGUUCCCUGCUGCUUCAAAUGCUCCACAAUCAUUCCGGUCCCCAAAAAAUCACAGGACUUAAUGACUACCGGCCUGUCGCUCUCAUGUAUGUGGUCAUGAAGUCAUUUGAGAGACUGGUUUUGGCCUACCUGAAGGACAUCACUGGACUCCUGCUGGACCCCCUUCAGUUUGCUUACCGAGCAAACAGGUCUGUGGAUGAUGCUGUCAAUAUGGGACUGCAUUAUAUCUUGCAACACCUCGACAGACCUGGAACUUAUGCAAGGAUCCUAUUUGUGGACUUCAGUUCAGCCUUCAAUACCAUCAUGCCUGAUCUUCUCUCAGUCAAACUGACCCAGCUCUCCGUGCCUACCCCAAUCUGUCGAUGGAUCACCAGCUUUCUGACAGAUAGGUAGCAGCUAGUGAGACUGGGUAAACUCACAUCCGGGACCCUCUAUUUUAGCACUGGUGCUCCUCAGGAAUGCAUUUUCUCUCCACUGCUCUUCUCCCUGUACACGAAUGACUGCACUGCAAAGGACCCCACUGUCAAGCUCCUGAAGUUUGCAGACUACACCACGGUCAUCUGCCUUAUCCGUGACGGUGACGAGUCUGUAUACAGACAGGAGGUUGAACAGCUGGCUGUCUGGUGCAGUCACAACAACCUUGAACUGAACACACUCAAAACAGUGGAGAUGAUAGUGGACUUCAGGAGAAAUACCCCACACUCCUUCGCCAGGUGAGGAAGUUCAACCUGCCACAGGAGCUGCUGACACAGUUCUAGUCUGCCAUCAUUGAGUCUGUCCUGUGUACAUCUAUAAUUUGUCGGUUUGGUUCAGCCAAGGAAACUACAACAGACAGUCAGGACUGCUGAGAGGAUUAUUGGUGCCCCCCUGCCCACCCUCCAAGACCUGUACAUCUCCAGAGUGAGGAAACGUGUAGGUAGAAUCACUCUGGACCCCACACACCCUGCCCCAGUCCCUCUUUGAACUGUUGCCCUCUGGCCGGCACUACAGAGCACUGAGCGCCAGGACAUCCAGGCACAAGAACAGUUUUUACCCUCAGGCCAUUUACCACAUGAACAAUUAAACUGCCUCAUGAUAUCUAAUGUACAUAUGUAAAUUCACAUAUUUAAUUCAAUAACUGUACAUACCCCAGCCUUUGCACAUUACCACUUGCACACGUACAUACACCAUUCUGUUAUAUGUCCUAUUAUUUGUAUGUCUAUUUAUAAUCUUACCUUGUUUUAUAUCCUGUGUCUCAAUGUAAUGUUCUGUGUGCAACUGUUUCUUCUAU